CGUGAGAUCCAGCCCACACUCCAAGGGGAGAGAAUUAAGCUCCAACACCUGCAGGGAACAUCACGAAGCAUUUGCCUUCCUCCCUCAAAACCAUCCCUGCGACUGGGACAGGGGACAGCUCUCUGGUUGCCGCCCGCGGUGUUGGGCAGUGGCUCUUGGCUGCAGAAAGCAGGGCUGUGCUGGGCAAAGGACGCUUUUCUAUUUCCCUCCUUUCCCCUUCGUUUAUUGUUGGGAAUUCUUCUGGAGGGAGAUUUGUCCCCUCGACCCCGUUUUAUUCGUAUCGGUGUGGACGCAUGGGUGUUAAUUGAGUGUAACCCAGUACUAUCAUAAUUAACUUUUUCAUUCAGAUUGUUCCCGUUUGGGCCAUACGGGUGCUUUCAGGAUGGCUCUGUGUUCUUCCGUGUGUGUCUUUCCUCUUUUUUCUUCCUCAAGCACUUCCUUCCUUUCUAGCACUUUGAGAUACUUCAGGCUCUUUCCCUGCCCCUACCCUAGAAUCAGCCCCUUCUCCAGGGUGUCCUGGUUCCUUCGAUGGACAAGGUAACAGGAACCACGCUCAGGACCCUGCGUGUGGCUAUGGCUGCUGAGAUGGCCCUAGUUCUAGUCCUUUUCUGACGGAUCUCGGGAAAACGUACGCGUCCAAACCCCUGUAUACACACGUUAUCUGUAUUUCUUUGUGUGUAUGUAGGCAUGGAUCUGUGUGUGUGUGAAAAUAAACCUGACUUCAUGCUGGUAUUUCUGACUCCAAUCCAUCUCCAGAGGGUUCAUUCAUUCCCACCUUCCCAGCCCUGUUUUGUCAGUAUCGUCUUUCUCUGGCACCGAGAAAUCGGGCUCAGGGGGCUCUUUUUUUGGUGUUCAUCUUAUGGGCCAUCUUAGCAAAAGUCGGCCGUGGUGGCCACGCUCGCCUCCUGUAAGGACUCUCUCCAUGGUUUCCGGACAGUGCUGUCCCCUGAUUUUUCCCCUUGUGUCUUGCUUCUUUGCAAGACAUUCCUGUUUCCACAGGUGCCCUGAAUCUGGGGGGGGCUCUUCGCUCCUCCUGCCCCCGGGACCAUCUUGCUCUCUUUUCUGGAUCGUUUUUCCUGUCUCUGGGCAGGUGAUGAUCACGCUCCCCCCAUCUCACCCUUUAUUUACCCCGCCUCCACCUGACAGCGCAGGGUUUCUGUGAAGCACCGAUCUGAUCACGUCUUCCUUUCGCUGUCCCUCCGGUGUCCUGAGGAUAAAGUCCUAACUCCUUAGGCUGAUCCUGAAGACUUGGUGCGAUCGGUCCCUGACCAUCGAUCACUCUGCCAGGCUCCCUGCCAGCCUGAGCCACAGCCACCCUCAGCUGCUUCUCUCUCCUUAAACACAGCCCAUGCUCAAACCUGGGCCGCGGCCGGGACCCUUGCCCAGCCCCAGCCAGUCCUGCCCGGUCCGCAUGCCACCCUCCUCCUUCCUACUGACAUCUUUUCAAAACACUCCCAGGCGGCGGCGGCGGUGGCGGUGGCGGUGGCGGUGGCGGUAUCUGCAAGGAUGAGGGAUAAAAGGGACCCCGAGGUCAUUUCUGAGGUCGGAGGGAGGGAGAUUUACUGGAACCCUUUUGUUCAUUGAACACGAACACAGCACCAACAGCUGUCGCGGGAGAAAGUUUACAGCAACAGCAACAAAAAAUCACAUUGUGUUUAAGAGGAGAAACCUUUCAGGAAUCAUUUCGUGUAACCUAAAAAAAUUCUGUAGUGGCAGCAAGAGAGGAGCGGUAUCCUUCUCUGUACACUGUAACUGUCCCCCCAGACUGGACUUGGGAGGAGUGCCUGGGAGAUCCCAUGAGCUUAGAACUCUCUACCGUGAGCUUUCACGGGUUGGCAUUAUAAACACGACCUAAUGUAAUUUAGGCGGUGUCUCACACGCCUUUGGAACGGCCGACUUACGUAGAAGGAUUUUGGGCGUGUGAAGCAGGGCUCCUGAGGUCCCGCGGUGUUGGGAGCCCUGGACUGGCUGUUGGGACAGGGAAGCCUGUGUAAACCCUGCAUGCAUCCGCUUGGAGACUCUGCAGCUUUCGGUCUGGCUGGCACGUGCGCUCACUGCCGGGGCGCUGCUUCCUGCCAGGCCCCGUCUGAGCCCUUCCAGCGCUUGCGGUCAUCCAGUGAGGACCCCGCGCCGCUGUUUGCCCAGGUUUUCAGCGAGACAUU
Molecule: long non-coding RNA, 2162 nt
Filed under: Sus scrofa (pig)
Lineage: Eukaryota; Metazoa; Chordata; Mammalia; Artiodactyla; Suidae
Description: lncRNA (ENSSSCG00025040881.1)
Source: RNAcentral